GACGAACCGUGCGAACGUUGUUCGGAAUCACUGGGCAUAAAGGGCGCGUAGGCGGUGCGUCAAGUCUUGGGUGAAAUCUUUCGGCUCAACCGGAAAAGUGCCUGGGAUACUGGCGCGCUAGAGGGAGAUAGGGGUCUUGGGAACUACCAGUGGAGCGGUGAAAUGCGUUGAGAUUGGUAGGAACGCCGGUGGCGAAAGCGCAAGACUGGGUCUUUUCUGACGCUGAGGCGCGAAAGCCAGGGGAGCAAACGGG
Molecule: ribosomal RNA, 253 nt
Filed under: uncultured bacterium
Lineage: Bacteria
Description: partial 16S ribosomal RNA
Rfam family: Bacterial small subunit ribosomal RNA
Source: RNAcentral